GACGAAGCCCUGGGUCGCAAACGGGAUUAGAUACCCCGGUAGUCCAGGGUGUAAACGCUGCAGACUUGGUGUUGGGGGCCCUUCGGGGGCAUUCAGUGCCGGAGAGAAGUUGUUAAGUCUGCUACUUGGGGAGUACGUCCGCAAGGAUGAAACUUAAAGGAAUUGGCGGGGGAGCACCGCAACGGGAGGAGCGUGCGGUUUAAUUGGAUUCAACACCGGAAAACUCACCAAGGGAGACCAUCACAUGAAAGCCAGGCUAAUGACUUUGCUUGAUUCUUGGAGAAGUGGUGCAUGGCCAUCGUCAGUUCGUACUGUAAAGCGUUCUCUUAAGUGAGAUAACGAACGAGACCCUC
Molecule: ribosomal RNA, 353 nt
Filed under: uncultured archaeon
Lineage: Archaea
Description: bacterial SSU rRNA
Rfam family: Archaeal small subunit ribosomal RNA
Source: RNAcentral